This 426-nucleotide ribosomal RNA is filed under the name uncultured bacterium. RNAcentral's name for it is "bacterial SSU rRNA". It matches the Rfam family "Bacterial small subunit ribosomal RNA", at positions 64 to 524 of the family's 1533-position model. The record is from RNAcentral.
GCACGAGAACGUGGAGCAUGCAUGAGUAAAGUGGCGCACGGGUGAGUACACGUGAAUGAUCUACCUCCGAGUGGGGAAUAACCUAGAGAAAUCUGGGCUAAUACCGCAUAACACUUACGAGUCAAAGCAGCAAUGCGCUUGGAGAGGAGUUCGCGGCCGAUUAGUUAGUUGGCGGGGUAAUGGCCCACCAAGACGAUGAUCGGUAUCCGGCCUGAGAGGGCGCACGGACACACUGGAACUGAAACACGGUCCAGACUCCUACGGGAGGCAGCAGUGGGGAAUUUUGCGCAAUGGGGGAAACCCUGACGCAGCAACGCCGCGUGGAGGAUGAAAUCCCUUGGGAUGUAAACUCCUUUCGAUCGGGACGAUUAUGACGGUACCGGAAGAAGAAGCCCCGGCUAACUUCGUGCCAGCAGCCGCGGUAAU